RNAcentral lists this ribosomal RNA (229 nucleotides) under uncultured bacterium. Its description in RNAcentral is "partial 16S ribosomal RNA". It matches the Rfam family "Bacterial small subunit ribosomal RNA", at positions 568 to 796 of the family's 1533-position model. The record is from RNAcentral.
UGCGUAGGCGGAAUUUUAAGUCAGUGGUGAAAUCCUGCAGCUCAACUGUAGAACUGCCAUUGAUACUGAUCUUCUUGAAUUUAGUUGAGGUGGGCGGAACGUGUAAUGUAGCGGUGAAAUGCUUAGAUAUUACACAGAAUACCGAUUGCGAAGGCAGCUCACUAAACUAACAUUGACGCUGAGGCACGAAAGCGUGGGUAGCGAACAGGAUUAGAUACCCUGGUAGUCC